GCCGGUGUAGCUCAAUGGCAGAGCAGCUGCCUUGUAAGCAGCAGGUUGCGGGUUCGAAUCCCAUCGCCGGCUCCA
This 75-nucleotide transfer RNA is filed under the name Actinomycetota bacterium. RNAcentral's name for it is "tRNA-Thr". It matches the Rfam family "tRNA". From Rfam's summary of the family: Transfer RNA (tRNA) molecules are approximately 80 nucleotides in length. Lineage: Bacteria; Bacillati; Actinomycetota. The record is from RNAcentral.